AACGAACGCUGGCGGCAGGCCUCAAACAUGCAAGUCUAGGGGGUAGCAAUACCACCGGCGGACGGGUGCGUAACGCGUGGGAACAUACCUUUCGGUACGGAACAACUGCGGGAAACUGCAGCUAAUACCGUAUACGCCCUUACGGGGAAAGAUUUAUCGCCGAAGGAUUGGCCCGCGUUCGAUUAGCUAGUUGGUGGGGUAAAAGCUCACCAAGGCUACGAUCGAUAGCUGUUCUGAGAGGAAGAUCAGCCACACUGGGACUGAGACACGGCCCAGACUCCUACGGGAGGCAGCAGUUGGGAAUCUUGGACAAUGGGGGAAACCCUGAUCCAGCCAUGCCGCGUGAGUGAUGAAGGCCUUCGGGUUGUAAAACUCUUUCGACGGGGACGAUAAUGACGGUACCCGUAGAAGAAGCUCCGGCUAACUUCGUGCCAGCCGCCGCCGUAA
RNAcentral lists this ribosomal RNA (447 nucleotides) under uncultured bacterium. Its description in RNAcentral is "partial 16S ribosomal RNA". It matches the Rfam family "Bacterial small subunit ribosomal RNA", at positions 29 to 523 of the family's 1533-position model. The record is from RNAcentral.